AUUGAACGCUGGCGGCAUGCUUUACACAUGCAAGUCGAACGGCAGCACAGGGAGCUUGCUCCUGGGUGGCGAGUGGCGAACGGGUGAGUAAUGUAUCGGAACGUGCCUGGUAGUGGGGGAUAACUACUCGAAAGAGUGGCUAAUACCGCAUGAGAUCUUUGGAUGAAAGCGGGGGACCUUCGGGCCUCGUGCUACUGGAGCGGCCGAUAUCAGAUUAGGUUGUUGGUGGGGUAAAGGCCUACCAAGCCUGCGAUCUGUAGCUGGUCUGAGAGGACGACCAGCCAACCGGGGCCUGAGACCCGGCCCAGCCCCCUAGGGGAGGCAGGGGGGGGGAAUUUUGGAAAAGGGGCGCAAGCCUGACCCAGCAAGCCCGCGUGAAGGACGAAGGCCUUCGGGUUGUAAACUGCUUUUUUAAAGAAAAAAAAUUUUUUGGUUAAUAUUUAGGGUUCAUGGGGGUACUGAAAGAAUAAGCACCGGCUAACUACGG
This 487-nucleotide ribosomal RNA is filed under the name uncultured bacterium. RNAcentral describes it as "partial 16S ribosomal RNA". It matches the Rfam family "Bacterial small subunit ribosomal RNA", at positions 30 to 506 of the family's 1533-position model. The record is from RNAcentral.